Molecule: ribosomal RNA, 465 nt
Filed under: Vreelandella stevensii
Lineage: Bacteria; Pseudomonadati; Pseudomonadota; Gammaproteobacteria; Oceanospirillales; Halomonadaceae
Description: partial 16S ribosomal RNA
Rfam family: Bacterial small subunit ribosomal RNA
Source: RNAcentral
CCUACGGGCGGCAGCAGUGGGGAAUAUUGGACAAUGGGGGCAACCCUGAUCCAGCCAUGCCGCGUGUGUGAAGAAGGCCCUCGGGUUGUAAAGCACUUUCAGUGAGGAAGAACGCCUGGUGGUUAAUACCCAUCAGGAAAGACAUCACUCACAGAAGAAGCACCGGCUAACUCCGUGCCAGCAGCCGCGGUAAUACGGAGGGUGCGAGCGUUAAUCGGAAUUACUGGGCGUAAAGCGCGCGUAGGUGGCUUGAUAAGCCGGUUGUGAAAGCCCCGGGCUCAACCUGGGAACGGCAUCCGGAACUGUCAAGCUAGAGUGCCGGAGAGGAAGGUAGAAUUCCCGGUGUCGCGGUGAAAUGCGUAGAGAGCGGGAGGAAUACCAGUGGCGAAGGCGGCCUUCUGGACUGACACUGACACUGAGGUGCGAAAGCGUGGGUAGCAAACAGGAUUAGAUACCCGUGUAGUC